Molecule: ribosomal RNA, 497 nt
Filed under: uncultured bacterium
Lineage: Bacteria
Description: partial 16S ribosomal RNA
Rfam family: Bacterial small subunit ribosomal RNA
Source: RNAcentral
GGUGAACGCUGGCGGCGUGCCUAAUACAUGCAAGUCGAGCGAACGGACGAGAAGCUUGCUUCUCUGAUGUUAGCGGCGGACGGGUGAGUAACACGUGGAUAACCUACCUAUAAGACUGGGAUAACUUCGGGAAACCGGAGCUAAUACCGGAUGAUAUUUUGAGCCGCAUGGUUCAAAAGUGAAAGACGGUCUUGCUGUCACUUAUAGAUGGAUCCGCGCUGCAUUAGCUAGUUGGUAAGGUAACGGCUUACCAAGGCAACGAUGCAUAGCCGACCUGAGAGGGUGAUCGGCCACACUGGAACUGAGACACGGUCCAGACUCCUACGGGAGGCAGCAGUAGGGAAUCUUCCACAAUGGGCGAAAGCCUGACGGAGCAACGCCGCGUGAGUGAUGAAGGUCUUCGGAUCGUAAAACUCUGUUAUUAGGGAAGAACAUAUGUGUAAGUAACUGUGCACAUCUUGACGGUACCUAAUCAGAAAGCCACGGAUAACUACGUG